UACGGGAGGCAGCAGUGGGGAAUAUUGCACAAUGGGCGCAAGCCUGAUGCAGCCAUGCCGCGUGUAUGAAGAAGGCCUUCGGGUUGUAAAGUACUUUCAGCGGGGAGGAAGGCGUUGAGGUUAAUAACCGCAGCGAUUGACGUUACCCGCAGAAGAAGCACCGGCUAACUCCGUGCCAGCAGCCGCGGUAAUA
Molecule: ribosomal RNA, 193 nt
Filed under: uncultured bacterium
Lineage: Bacteria
Description: partial 16S ribosomal RNA
Rfam family: Bacterial small subunit ribosomal RNA
Source: RNAcentral